GUGGGGAAUCUUAGACAAUGGGCGCAAGCCUGAUCUAGCCAUGCCGCGUGAGCGAUGAAGGCCUUAGGGUUGUAAAGCUCUUUCGCUGGGGAAGAUAAUGACUGUACCCAGUAAAGAAGCCCCGGCUAACUCCGUGCCAGCAGCCGCGGUAAUACGGAGGGGGCUAGCGUUGUUCGGAAUUACUGGGCGUAAAGCGCGCGUAGGCGGAUUGGAAAGUUGGGGGUGAAAUCCCGGGGCUCAGCCUCGGAACUGCCUUCAAAACUCCCAGUCUUGAGUUCGAGAGAGGUGAGGGGAAUUCCGAGUGUAGAGGUGAAAUUCGUAGAUAUUCGGAGGAACACCAGUGGCGAAGGCGGCUCACUGGCUCGAUACUAACGCUGAGGUGCGAAAGCGUGGGGAGCAAACAGGAUUAGAAACCCGAGUAGUCC
This 425-nucleotide ribosomal RNA is filed under the name uncultured bacterium. Its description in RNAcentral is "partial 16S ribosomal RNA". It matches the Rfam family "Bacterial small subunit ribosomal RNA", at positions 354 to 796 of the family's 1533-position model. The record is from RNAcentral.